RNAcentral lists this ribosomal RNA (497 nucleotides) under uncultured bacterium. RNAcentral's name for it is "partial 16S ribosomal RNA". It matches the Rfam family "Bacterial small subunit ribosomal RNA", at positions 28 to 507 of the family's 1533-position model. The record is from RNAcentral.
GAUGAACGCUGGCGGCGUGCCUAAUACAUGCAAGUCGAGCGCACGGAUGAGAAGCUUGCUUCUCUGAUGUUAGCGGCGGACGGGUGAGUAAAACGUGGAUAACCUACCUAUAAGAAUAGGAUAACUUCGGGAAACCGUAGCUAAUACAGGAUAAUAUUUUGAACCGCAUGGUUCAAAAGUGAAAGAUGGUCCUGCAGUCACUUAUAGAUGGAUCCGCGCUGCAUUAGCUAGCUGGUAAGGUAACGGCUUACAAAGGCAACGAUGCAUAGCCGACAUGACCGGGUGGACGGGUAGACGGGAUGUGAGAGUCGGUCCAGACUCCUGCAGUAGGCAGCAGUAGGGAAUCUUCCGCGAGGGAGGAGUGCCUGACAGAGCAACGCCGCGUGAAUGAUGAAGGUCUUCGUAUCUGAGAACGCUGUUAGUAGGGAAAAAGAAAUGUGUAAUUAACAGUGCACAUCUAGUCGGGACCUAAGCAGAAGACGACGGCUAACUACAUG